GGCUCAGUGAUUCAAUGGUAAAGCGCUCGUCGCAGGGCCAGAGGGUCCUGGGUUCGAUCCCCAACGAGGUCG
RNAcentral lists this transfer RNA (72 nucleotides) under Schistosoma japonicum. RNAcentral describes it as "tRNA-OTHER". The record is from RNAcentral. Lineage: Eukaryota; Metazoa; Platyhelminthes; Trematoda; Strigeidida; Schistosomatidae.